GUUGUGGCUCAGGGGUAGAGCGCCUGCCUAGCACGCACGAGGCUCUGGGUUCAAUCCUCAGUACA
RNAcentral lists this transfer RNA (65 nucleotides) under Marmota monax (woodchuck). RNAcentral describes it as "tRNA.Ala". It matches the Rfam family "tRNA", at positions 6 to 65 of the family's 71-position model. From Rfam's summary of the family: Transfer RNA (tRNA) molecules are approximately 80 nucleotides in length. Their secondary structure includes four short double-helical elements and three loops (D, anti-codon, and T loops). The record is from RNAcentral. Lineage: Eukaryota; Metazoa; Chordata; Mammalia; Rodentia; Sciuridae.